CUAAAUGUAGUAUACUAGGUGCUAUUAAUUUAGAAUUCUCCCCAUUUACAGUAAUUGUAAAUGGGGAUAUUGGUAGUUCACAACGA
RNAcentral lists this unclassified non-coding RNA (86 nucleotides) under Paracellulophaga baltica. RNAcentral describes it as "Cellulophaga baltica microRNA mir-287". The record is from RNAcentral. Lineage: Bacteria; Pseudomonadati; Bacteroidota; Flavobacteriia; Flavobacteriales; Flavobacteriaceae.